CCAGAGCUGGAUUCCAGGACCAGAAUUUGUCACAGUCUAAGAUGUGCACGAGAAAGAUGCUUGAAAUGUGGUUUGUUGUUUUGUUGGGGAUUUUCUCCCCCAUAAGGUAUCUGUGAUUUGCAGCUUUUCUCAUGUGAGGUGGGAAACACUCUUAGCUGGCUCAUCGUCCAACCUGCUUGACCUUUAUUCUGCUUUGUAAAAAUCAAGAUUGAUGGGAUGAAUUUCCAGUGCCAAAAGAAGGAGCACCUUAGAAAAGAAGCCCAGAAGCAUGAUGCAACAUCUGAACACGUCCCUUAGUCAGCAUUUACUGCUGGCAACAUAACAGCAGUGUCCUAUCAUCUUGUCCUCCAAAAGAGAUGAGCUGCUGCCAGAAGAUUGAGGACGGGGACACACACAAACACUUGCCUGGCAGAAAUUAUUGCCUCAGGUGUUUGCAUCCUUCAUGAAGGAAGCCCCAUUUUUUUUUGAGAUGUGCCCCCUUCUGAUAAACAUCUUCUAUCAUUGCUUUGGAUCAUACACAGUGAAUAGUAAAUUUUGACAGCUGUCACUCAUUCUUUAGCAUUUCCAGUACUUGGGAAGAAAUUACGGAAAUGGCAAAAGUGGAAAGUUUUGACAGCUGAGCCACAGGAAUUAUUCCUGUAUAAAACAGCAAAUACCAACUCAAGAAGCAGGCUAUGGAUUUGAGAGACUUUCUGGAAAACUUGUGAAGGAGAAGCCAGCGAACAAAUGAAACUAAUUCUUGUGCAUUCUGCUGUUUUUCUGCCUGUGAGAAUACUCAAUAUUCUGCAUUCUAAUAUUUAAUAAUAUUCAUUAUUUAAUAAAUAAUCCUGGCAUAACCCAGAAAAAAUAUUCAAGAGUAUAAACUCUUUUGGUUAGCAGUUUUUAAAGCAUGGCACAGCAUAUGUGUUACCAACAUAUCCUGAAAAAUCAAAUGAUUGAAGCAAAUUCUCUCUUGAAACAAACCCAUCAAGGAUAGAAAGGAAUAUCUGUGCUCAAGUCACAAGAAACUCAAUUAAAUUCCCAUGGCAAUUCUUACCGAAUUCAACAAAAUUCACUUUAUCCUAAGAACACCUCCCUGUAAGUAAUCUGCUGCCUGAGACACACCCUUUUACCAUCUCCUGGACUUUCAGUCUCCUUUUACUGGUCCUUUUUUCCUUUUUUACUGAGCCUUGUAUAGGUUUCCUUUUUUCAGGGGCCCAUCAUCCUUGCAUGAAGCAGAAGGAAAGCUGGGACUAUCCUGAGUACUUUGAAAAGCCAUUAAAGGGUAAUGUGCAUUAAA
Agelaius phoeniceus (red-winged blackbird) is the source of this 1279-nucleotide non-coding RNA. Lineage: Eukaryota; Metazoa; Chordata; Aves; Passeriformes; Icteridae. The record is from RefSeq and is a predicted model, not a curated record.